RNAcentral lists this transfer RNA (52 nucleotides) under Ophidascaris sp. CYZ-2020. RNAcentral's name for it is "tRNA-Ser". Lineage: Eukaryota; Metazoa; Nematoda; Chromadorea; Rhabditida; Anisakidae. The record is from RNAcentral.
AACAAAUUUUUAGAUAGGUCUUCUAAAUCUGUUUUGGGUUUCCCGUUUGUUU